CCAUGUUACUCCUAAAUUUCUAUCUUGUUCAAAGAGAAGAUAUAAAACAGUUCUAAGCUAAUCAACCUAGUGUUCUCCUUUUUAACAACAAGAAUCGAUAAGAGAAUCGAUAAAGAAUCGAAUCGUUAAACAGAAUCGAAAAUGGAAUCGGAAUCGUUAAAAUCUUAUCAAUACCCAUCCCUACAAGGGACUGAGUGAGCUAACUGCAGAACUGUAGAUCUUAAACUCUUAGGCACAACCAACUGGUCUCCCACCCUACUGCGGCGAUAUAAUAGCUCACCCUUUAGGAAAAAUAGCUCUCUGCCUCUCUCAGUGACCUCUGUUGCGUUUGUGACAUUUUUGAAAACAGGGGGGGCUAAAGAUGGAUCCUCUCUUUGAAGCUGAGCUAUUUCAUCAGGUACAACUGGUAAUUCGUCACAUUGUGGCACUGGAACUGGUUCAAUGAACUUUGUCCCUCUCACCUUAGCCUGUCGCCUCUGGGCUCUGCUCUUUCUUAUGCAACCCUGACUUGAUCCUUCAAAAUCAGGAACAUCACUGUUAGCGAAUGGAAAUUCACUCCAACCUGAACCUUCUUCUGCGUGAUGCUUAUGUUUUGCCCUGGUGACGGCUACCAUGGACUCAGCUGUAAGACUUGGGUUGAUUUCCUCUCCCCUGGCUAUCAGAUCUCGCAAAAUGGGAAGAUCACAGCCCAACACAACCGGAUAUGGCAGUUUACUCAUAACUCCCACUGAAAGUAAAUACAGCUUGCCGUCAGUCUGAAUAUUAAUGUUGGCAAUUGGGUAAUCCACAUCAUUACCGUGAACACAGCAAACCUUUACCUUGCCGCAAAAAGUAGCAUCCCUGAUUGCACUUCCUGCUGGAGCUGAAUUUUCCGCCAGCGAUCUUCCUGCCACUGCUUCUCCAGUUCCCAUCGGGCCUCUCUGUCACUUUGUUGCCUCAUAAAACCAUGCAGGAGGUUAGAAAGUUUAGCAAGGUUAUGCAGUUCAAUACCUUGCUCUUGCUCUGCUUCCUCUAGCCGACUGAGCACUGGAGGCUCCUUACUUGCAGAGUCCAUUGGCACUGGGUGCUUUUUUGGUCUAGCCCAGGGGUGGGCAAUCUCAGUCCACGAGGGCCGGUGUCCCUGCAGGUUUUAGAUGUGUCCUCGAACCAACACAGCUGAUUUAAAUGGCUAAAUUAGCUCCUCAACAUGUCCUGAAGUUCUCCAGAGGCCUGGUAGCUAACUAAUCAUGUGAUUCAGGUGUGUUGAGCCAAGGUGAGAUCUAAAACCUGCAGGGACACCGGCCCUCGUGGACUGAGAUUGCCCACCCCUGGUCUAGCCCCUUUCUGCAUUGCUGCUACCUACUGGCCUGGAGCCACUGCUGCCACCAUUUGUGAAGUAGUCAGACUCGAACGUCAAGGAAGGUGGUAGGGAAGCAGACUACACAGACAUUUCAGGUUUCCAGAGGUGAGCAAUUUAUUUACAGUGAACUUAAUUUAAUGUGUAACUUAACAAACCUCCCCCCCCAAAGUAACUCAAUUAACAAAACUCAACAGAACAUUGAUCUGGUAGCACAACUCAGCUCUCCUCUCUCAUCUUCAUCUUAAUCUUCUUCUUCUUCUUUUUCUUCUUUCAUGUUUAACGGUGGCUUGCAUCCAAAAAUGUUGCAUUACUGCCAUCUCCUGGCUUUUAAUCUUACUUCACUCCUGAAUCCUCAGAUCCUCUUGAUGAGACUAGUAUUUCUCAAAAAACGAAAAACCACCACUUUCCCUUCACCAUGACAUAACUUAUUAACCACUUGUGCAAACAUAAGUUCCCUUCCACCACUCAUUUCAACCCUCAUCACCCUCCUGUGACUUGCAUACUUCCUACAACUAAGAAGCACAUUAAAGUAGACAGAUCAUUAACAGAUACUAAGAAGAGGAAAUUGACCACAGAUAUUUGUCAAAAACAUUUAUAACAGAUUGGAGAGCAAAUACAGUGACUUUUUACAGAUGUAUACAGAUGGGUCAAAAGAUCCCAAAACUGAAGCAACUAGUGUAGCAGUGGUAAUUCCAGAGUUAAAUAUCAAGAUUGCAAAAAGAACAUCAAAUCUUCUGAGUAUAUAUGCAGUUGAGUUAUAUGCCAUACUGCUGGCUCUAGAAUGAGUGGAAGACAGCAGAAUUUCAAAAGUACUGAUAUGUAGUGAUUCAUUGUCAGCAGUAUUAAGUAUUGAACAAGGAAACACAACUACCCAUCAGCAACUUUUGUAUGAUGUUCUUUUUGCUCAUCAUAGAUUGUCUGACCAAAAUAAACAUGUAGUAAUAAUGUGGACUCCUGCUCAUGUGGGUAUUUUGGGUAAUGAAAGAGCAGGUAGGUUGGCCAAAGCAGCUGUUAAAAAAGUCGAUAUAGAUGUACAGAUACCACUGUCAAAAUCUGAAGGGAAAAGUAUAGUUUGGACAGAAAGUAAGAACUUCUGGCAAAUGGCAUGGGAUAAUGAAACAAAAGAGAGACAUUUAUAUAGGGUGCAAAACACAAUAGAAGUUAAGAGGAGUAGUGGGUUAAAGAGACAGGAGGAGGUUAUUAUAAGUAGAAUACGAACAGGCCACUGCUUUUUAAAUGGUACUCUUUUUAGGAUAGGGAAACGUAUUUCAAUGUCCAUUGUUAUGACCCAGGUCAUUGUUGCCGUGUGGUGCUGUUACUCGCCACACCAGGCGGGGGCAUUGUUUGUACUCUGUGAUGUCUGUGUUAUGUAAGUUUCCAGGUGGAGGCUGACCAUUGGUGGAAGAGGGAAUGAGGCCGGCUACAAAUUGGGACCUGACUGGGCCGGCAGCCCCUCCUCCUGCUUCCUGUUUCCAGUGAGCUGCGCGUUUGGGGCCCUUCGUGCCGUGUGACGGAGUUUUCCGGGAUGAGAAUAGCUAGGCUGCAGUAAAAAUAGUGUAGAGAGUCUUCUAUCUGGACAUGGUAGCUGUAGGGGUGGGAAGCCGUUUCUUGUACAACCUUUUUCUCCUGUUUCGGGUAGGGAGACAGCCCCCUCCCAGGCCGGUGUGUAACACCAUAUGGGUACACAUCUGAAUCUGGUAGAGACUGGCUUUAAAUAGGGCCAUCAAUUUCCCUUCAAUUAGCCCAGCCAGUACCACUCACUUGAACUGAGGGAUCUAAAACUCUACACAGAUGAUUAAAAAAAGACACAAAACAUCUUCACACUUCUAAUUGGCACAUUUACACAACUAAACGGCUGUGUUAAUGAAAAGAAAAAGAUUCAACAAAUCCCUUU
Molecule: long non-coding RNA, 3233 nt
Organism: Oreochromis aureus
Lineage: Eukaryota; Metazoa; Chordata; Actinopteri; Cichliformes; Cichlidae
Source: Ensembl